ACAGCAGCAGCCGCGGUAAUACGGAGGGGGCUAGCGUUGUUCGGAAUUACUGGGCGUAAAGCGCACGUAGGCGGCUUGGUAAGUUAGAGGUGAAAGCCCGGAGCUCAACUUCGGAAUUGCCUUUAAGACUGCCGAGCUAGUAGGUGAGAGAGGUAAGUGGAAUUCCGAGUGUAGAGGUGAAAUUCGUAGAUAUUCGGAAGAACACCAGUGGCGAAGGCGGCUUACUGGCUCACUCUAGACGCUGAGGUGCGAAAGCGUGGGGAGCAAACAGGAUUAGAUACCCCUGUAGUCCCUGUCUCUUAUAC
This 305-nucleotide ribosomal RNA is filed under the name uncultured bacterium. Its description in RNAcentral is "partial 16S ribosomal RNA". It matches the Rfam family "Bacterial small subunit ribosomal RNA", at positions 505 to 807 of the family's 1533-position model. The record is from RNAcentral.